Molecule: ribosomal RNA, 466 nt
Filed under: uncultured bacterium
Lineage: Bacteria
Description: partial 16S ribosomal RNA
Rfam family: Bacterial small subunit ribosomal RNA
Source: RNAcentral
CUACGGGGUGCAGCAGUGGGGAAUAUUGGACAAUGGGGGAAACCCUGAUCCAGCAAUGCCGCGUGUGUGAAGAAGGCCUGCGGGUUGUAAAGCACUUUCGGUUGGGAGGACUGCUUCUAGCACUAAUAUUGUUGGAAGUUGACGUUACCUUCAGAAGAAGCACCGGCUAACUCCGUGCCAGCAGCCGCGGUAAUAGCGGAGGGUGCAAGCGUUAAUCGGAAUUACUGGGCGUAAAGCGCGCGUAGGCGGCUAGAUCAGUCGGGUGUGAAAGCCCCGGGCUUAACCUGGGAACUGCAUCCGAUACUGUCUAGCUUGAGUACAGGAGAGGAGAGUGGAAUUCCACAUGUAGCGGUGAAAUGCGUAGAUAUGUGGAGGAACACCAAUGGCGAAGGCAGCUCUCUGGCCUGAUACUGACGCUGAGGUUCGAAAGCGUGGGGAGCAAACAGGAUUAGAUACCCUAGUAGUC